Molecule: long non-coding RNA, 1206 nt
Filed under: Androctonus crassicauda
Lineage: Eukaryota; Metazoa; Arthropoda; Arachnida; Scorpiones; Buthidae
Source: RNAcentral
CGAAACCUAACCACUAGGAGGAGUUUGUGCUGAUUUGGAUAAGUAUUAGGAAUACAUCAGUUUGAACAAUCAGUUUCCUGAUUUAUGACAGUUGACAUGAGUGCAUAUUCUGUUGAACAGCAAUUGAUUAUCACACUAUCUUGCAUGAAAAAUUACAUACUGGUAUUACAAUGAUGAAUAUUAUAAAUUGAUUCCAAGAAUGGUUUGGUGUUCUGCUGUCCCCAAGAAUGACAUUACAAUGGGAAAAGUGUGCAUUUCAAGCAAGGAGUUGAAUGAUUGAGUGUGAAAUGGAAAAAUCCAUGACAAGAAUGGAAACUUGCAUCAACAUGCAAACAUCUGUGGAGCAGUCUCGAAUGAAAUCAACAACAAAAUGUUCAGCUGAACUUGGCAUACCCUGUAUAAUGAUGCAACAUCAUAUGAAAAAAGAUUUAGACUUAAAACUAUUUCAACCACUUUGUGUUAACAAACUCAGUUAUGCUGAUAUAGAUGCUUUGUACAAUACUUGUGUUGUGCUUCUCUAAAGAUUUUUUUCAGAAUAUGAUCACAAUAAUAAUAUAUUCACAGAUGGGUUCACAAUUUACUGAAAUUCCAGAAAUCACAGUAUUGUGUUUUCAACUAAAGACAAUCUCCAUUUCUCACAGAAAGUGGAGGAGAAUCUAUCACACAUGAUCUGGACCAGCAUGACCACAAAAGCACAUUAUUGAACCUUAGUUUUUUUUGAUGGUCCUUUAAUGGGUAGUCAUAUAAAGAGAUGUUUCUACAAUGGCUCUAUGUGCAGCUCAAAGCAGUUUGAAUAGCAGAUACCAUAAUCCUGCAACAAGAUGGAGUUUUGCACAUUUUGCUAUCAGAGUUUGAAAAUGCCUUAAUGAAUUGUUUUAAGACAAGUGGAUUGGUGCAGAUUGGAGACAACACAGGCCCCCUGGCCUAGCCACCAAGGAGCGCUGACUUGUCCACUCUAGACAAUACUUUGUGAAGUUUCAUUAAGGAUAAAGUUAGUCAACAAUACUACUAAACAAGAACCAAACUGCAUACUGCUGUGACAGAAGCAUUCAGAAGUAUCACAGAUGGAUUUUCUUUGCAAAACAUCUCAUUGAAUGUGAUAUCAAUUCAGUUUAGUUAUGAUAACAGAUGCUCAUACAGAUAUUCUGGACAUACAGUGUUCAAUACAUGUUAUAAAAUAAAGCAAAUGACAAUGUCUGUUUUACU